AAGACUCCGCCCACCAGCCAAGAUUCCCAGUCCCUGAAAUUUCUAACGCCGCGAAUCUAACGCCGCGGCUCCGAUGGUGGGGACAGGCCAGCCCAUGGGAUAGAUGCCCAUGCAGACCACACCAGCCGUCCUGAGGCCCCUGAGCCGUCAUGCACGUGCCGGCUGCGUGGACAACAAACACGCUCUCCACAACCUGCUCCGGAGGAUUUGGAUGCCCAACUAAAUCCCAGCGGGAGGACGCGACCUAGCGUCGGCGCGGUAAAUGCGGCGCAGAGAACGCGCAGCUCGGAAAGCGGGCGCCAAAAGUGCGGGACUGCAGUGCCACCUGGCGGGAGAGCGAGGAGUCGCGGAUUGGACCGGGUCCGCCUCCUAUAAGGCUUCGUUGCAUCCAACCCAAGCCUCUCAGGAGCUCCAGCCGCAGGUGUCCAGAUUCCGCCUAGAUGGGGCCGUUCAUGCGAUUCCCAUGUCCAAACCGCCUUCUGGCCUCCUUAGCCCGGUAGAGUAGCCACCCAGUCACCCCUGUGCUGGAAGUCACCUGGACUUCUCCUGUCUUGCACCCCUUCCCCAACGUUGGUAUUUUGGAUUCCUUUCCCUCUUACUCGAUUUUCUCCAGCUGUAGUAAAGCCACCUUAGUGUAAGUCAUCAUGA
Long non-coding RNA from Chinchilla lanigera (long-tailed chinchilla), 648 nucleotides. RefSeq lists it as uncharacterized. The transcript has 2 exons. Lineage: Eukaryota; Metazoa; Chordata; Mammalia; Rodentia; Chinchillidae. The record is from RefSeq and is a predicted model, not a curated record.